This 72-nucleotide transfer RNA is filed under the name Candidatus Roizmanbacteria bacterium RIFCSPHIGHO2_01_FULL_39_24. RNAcentral describes it as "tRNA-Lys". It matches the Rfam family "tRNA". From Rfam's summary of the family: Transfer RNA (tRNA) molecules are approximately 80 nucleotides in length. RNAcentral also lists the same sequence under 3 other names. Lineage: Bacteria; Candidatus Roizmaniibacteriota. The record is from RNAcentral.
GGGUCGCUAGCUCAAUGGUAGAGCACCUCCCUCUUAAGGAGAUGGUUCCCGGUUCGAGUCCGGGGCGACUCA